RNA transcript from Magnolia sinica, 2972 nucleotides. It is a transcript of the gene named nuclear-pore anchor-like, with no coding region annotated. The record is from RefSeq and is a predicted model, not a curated record. NCBI's taxonomy places the organism in Eukaryota, Viridiplantae, Streptophyta, Magnoliopsida, Magnoliales, Magnoliaceae. The transcript has 11 exons.
AGAGAUGAAAUGAAUGAAGUACUAGCUAGAAAUGUGGAGUUCUCACAGUUGAUGGUUGACUACCAACGAAGACUUCGUGAAAGUGCUGAUUCUUUGAGUGCCUGUGAUGUGCUCCCACAGAAAUUAUCUAUGGAGGUGUCUGUUUUGAAACAUGAAAAGGAUAUCCUGAUGAUUUCUGAAAAAAGAGCUUCCGAUGAAGUUCGGAGUUUGUCAGAGAGAGUGCAUUGUCUCCAGGCAACCUUGGACACAAUUCACAGUGCUGAGGAGAUUAGAGAGUAAAUUGGCUCUAUUCAUGCCUAUUGCAGGAAGCUAGGGCUAUGGAAAGGAGAAAACAUGAGGAGCAUCUAAAAUGAGUUGAAAGCGGUCCAAAACCCUUGUUUUCAUCUCCGUCGGACGCGUCUGACCCCACCGAUGCGUUAGAAUCCUUCCCUACACCGUUGAUUACUGACGGGAAUCAAGGAUUUGGCGGAUCAGAGGUUUUCAAGACGGAGAAUGUGGACAUUCAGGUGGCCGUCGAUUUACUGCUCGCCACUUGUUUCCAGGUCCUGAAUUCUCCCAAUGUUGAUCUCUGAUCGAAGAAGCUUCUGGAUUGCCUGAUCAAGAGCGCAAUUGAGCCGUUGGAUCGGCUGCCAAAAGAGCAGGACAGGUUUUACGGGCUUCUCCAAGCGAAGGUAUGGAUCAGAUUACUCUGUGUUUUCAUGUGGAUCGUUUCGGUGUCAGUCGUCGUGGAUCGAGAUGCCCGAACUGGGACGGGAUUUCCUUUGAACUGUUCGUACAAGUCGGAGCUCGAGGAGCGUCAUCGCUCGUCUUCGCACGACACGUACCUACACCAGCUAUAUAGCUGGUGCGUGGUACACCAGCCAAUUCGCUUUCGUAAGUAGGAGUCGUCGCAGAUCUGGAAAAGCUCUGGACUUGUCGUUUUGAUUUUAGACCCUUUCAAACAACUUUUAUCUCCCUCCCUCUCUCUCUCUCUCUCUAGAAAAUGGUAAAAUCCUUCUUUCAAAACCCUAGAUUUUAGUAUGUUUUCCGUUCAAUUAUCGGAAAUCAGAUUCCGUUUGGUUCUCGUUUUUUCUUGAUUUUUACUGAUCUUGCGUGUUAUGAUCUAUCCGUGUUGAAAAAUCAGGAUUCUGAUUGUUCGAUUUCGAAAUUCUUCGGAAAUCGUUGGGUCGGAUCUCAGAUUUUAGGGCUUACAGAUUUGAAUGUGGACCUCGAAUUUGGAUUUUUUUGAUUUUACAAAUUGAGGAUUUGGGAAUUUUAGGAUUUUGGGAAUCCAAGGAUUUUUAAAAUUAGGGAUUUCACUCUCCAGAUUCGAGAGAGCAUGAGAAGGCACUCCAGAUGCACCGUUUGGAUUCCUGGGAUGUAAGGUGAGCAUGAGAAGGCACUCUAGAUGCACCGUUUGGAUUCCAUGUAACUGGGAUUAUAAUCUAUCAUUACAUUUAAUCACAUUAGUUGUUGCCCAUCAAGUGUUUGGAAAAAUUCCUAAAUCAGUAGCCAUAGUAUUUUUCUCAAAAUUCUAUAUAUUUUUUGUUCUGUUAUUGGCUUUAAUAUAGUUUAAUGCUGCUAGUUGAGUAUUCAUGCAGUUCUCUCUGGGGCAGAAUCAUGUUUCGUUCUGCAGGCUGGAUAUUGAUAUUCAUCAGUAUGAUCCAAAAUCUGGACAUUUUUUAUGCAACGACUUUUCUGCAGGUGCUUCGUAGUUAUUAUCUCGGCUACAAAUCAGUCACACAAACACAAGAUGAUCAUAAGUUCCCAAUGUUUGCACGAUACAGGUUCAUCGACGAAAGAAUUCCAUUGAUGCAUUGCUUGCCAAAUAGGCUGUCCUUGCACCCCAAAUGACAGCCAAGGUGAAAGGCCUGAGAUAUGUUUCACAAAUAUUCGAUUCAAAUAUUAAAGAACCUGAGAUGCAGAUUGGUUUACUCACCAAAGUAAAACAUGUGGCCCACAUAGGGUGGGAUGGCCCCUCUGUAAAUGCCCCAAUUUGGUUGUUUUCCUGAAAUCAUGGUAUCUGUUUUGAUGAUGGAGUGACCCUACAAGAUGGAUUGGAUGUUAUACACAACAUGGGGCAUGCCAUCUGUAUUCACCACGCUGACAUAUGUUUCCUGCCCUAGAUACCAUGAUUUUGGUAACCCAAGAGACCUCUUUGCUGAAAGAUUAUAAGAGGUACAUGGAACUAGCAAGUUGUUUUCCUAUUGUCUUCUAUGAAUAAAAUGCACCUUUUUGCUUGAUUACUCACUUUUUUAUAGAAAUAAAGGUAGGUGUUGAACGGGGUUUCUGCAUGUAAUCCUUGUGGCUGUUGUGAACCGUUUGGGCUUUUGGUUCCAGGUUACUGAGAGAAAAUGCAAUGAAGUUUUUGAUGGAUGACAUGUACAGAAACCCUGGGCCUCUUCAAUUUGAUGGCCUGGGCUCAGAUGCCAAGUCUGUCACCACCCUGUGUGUUGAAGGUCAGGACUACAUAGGCCGGAUAAAGAAGCUGCAGGAGUAUCUCGAAAAGGCGACUUUCCCUGGUUUAUGGCUGUCCGACAUAACGCCCGAUUCAUACAAUGUUCCUGAAGUUCAUGAGUCUUGAAAGGAAGUGUGCUAGAGUACACUCUUGCUUUUACUAGUGCUGCAUUGGAUAGAUGUCGUUGCAAAUGGAGUGCAGUUCCAAGGACAGGAUUCAUUGACAUUACAACUUCAAAGGACUUUAUCAUGUUUUUAGUGGCCUUCAAUUUUUACAGAUGGCUGCUAUCUUAGAGCAACAGUGGACCGGAAUGGAUUGUGCCCCGGUCGCUUUUACAUCACACGUAGUGGACACGUGAUCAUGGCCAGUAAGGUCGGUGUUGUAGACAUCUGCUAGAAGAUGUGGCUAGGAAAGGAAGACAUAUGAUCGGUCCAGAAGGGGACCUCACCGAAACAGUUCAUGUGGAAAGCUAGGAAAGGAAGACGUUUGUAGUUUGUUUUGAAAACUUUAAAUAGACCAUUAAUUGUUUUGUUGA